UUGAACCACGGCGAUGAUGUCCGCCGCCCCGGCCCCCCGGGGGAACCGCGCGAAGGCGCUGAUGACCUCUACCCCUCA
Molecule: non-coding RNA, 78 nt
Filed under: Elusimicrobiota bacterium
Lineage: Bacteria; Pseudomonadati; Elusimicrobiota
Description: Elusimicrobia bacterium Fluoride sequence
Rfam family: Fluoride riboswitch aptamer (crcB RNA motif)
Source: RNAcentral